AAAGAUUUUUGGUUCUGCAGAAGCCAAUGAUCUGGCACACUGAGACCUUAAUUUCUGGAGUGAACGACUGCAGGAAUCAAAAUACAAUGUUGAUGAGAUAACUACUUCUGGUUAGGCCGGGGAAAUAAAAAGGGUAACCAUAGAUAUAUGGUCUAGCAUCACGAGGUUCAGGUUCCUGCUGUUGAUCAACCGUUGCUUCGGUCGAGCCAAGAUGAGUGCUCUACACUUACGUCUCAUGCUAACUGAAUUGGUGAUGUUUAUUUCUUCACCUCGAUUGACGCCGC
Long non-coding RNA from Triticum aestivum (bread wheat), 284 nucleotides. RefSeq lists it as uncharacterized. The record is from RefSeq and is a predicted model, not a curated record. NCBI's taxonomy places the organism in Eukaryota, Viridiplantae, Streptophyta, Magnoliopsida, Poales, Poaceae. The transcript is spliced from 3 exons.